RNAcentral lists this ribosomal RNA (394 nucleotides) under uncultured Atopostipes sp. RNAcentral's name for it is "bacterial SSU rRNA". It matches the Rfam family "Bacterial small subunit ribosomal RNA", at positions 1013 to 1384 of the family's 1533-position model. The record is from RNAcentral. Lineage: Bacteria; Bacillati; Bacillota; Bacilli; Lactobacillales; Carnobacteriaceae.
GCCUCCUUUCGGAACAGAAUGACAGGUGGGGCAUGGGUGUCGUCAGCUCGUGUCGUGAGAUGUUGGGUUAAGUCCCAUAACGAGCGCAACCCUUAUUGUUAGUUGCCAGCAUUUAGUUGGGCACUCUAGCGAGACUGCCGGUGAUAAACCGGAGGAAGGUGGGGAUGACGUCAAAUCAUCAUGCCCCUUAUGAGCUGGGCUACACACGUGCUACAAUGGACGGUACAACGAGUGGCGAGAGCGCGAGCGUUAGCGAAUCUCUAAAAACCGCUCUCAGUUCGGGAUUGUUGGUCUGCAACUCGCCUGCAUGAAGCCGGAAUCGCUAGUUAAUCGCGGAUCAAAAAUGCCGCCGGUGAAUACGUUCCCCGGGUCUUGUUACACAACACCACAAAAA